AUUGAACGCUGGCGGCAUGCCUUACACAUGCAAGUCGAACGGUAACGGGCCUUCGGGUGCCGACGAGUGGCGAACGGGUGAGUAAUACAUCGGAACGUGCCCGCUCGUGGGGGAUAACGAGGCGAAAGCUUUGCUAAUACCGCAUACGAUCUACGGAUGAAAGCAGGGGACCGCAAGGCCUUGCGCGGACGUUGCGGCCGAUGGCAGAUUAGGUAGUUGGUGGGAUAAAAGCUUACCAAGCCGACGAUCUGUAGCUGGUCUGAGAGGAUGAUCAGCCACACUGGGACUGAGACACGGCCCAGACUCCUACGGGAGGCAGCAGUGGGGAAUUUUGGACAAUGGGCGCAAGCCUGAUCCAGCCAUGCCGCGUGCAGGAUGAAGGCCUUCGGGUUGUAAACUGCUGUUGUACGGAACGAAAAGCCGUCUUUUAAUACAGGAGGGUCAUGACGGUACCGUAAGAAUAAGCACCGGCUAACUACGUG
This 482-nucleotide ribosomal RNA is filed under the name uncultured bacterium. RNAcentral describes it as "partial 16S ribosomal RNA". It matches the Rfam family "Bacterial small subunit ribosomal RNA", at positions 30 to 507 of the family's 1533-position model. The record is from RNAcentral.